This 497-nucleotide ribosomal RNA is filed under the name uncultured bacterium. Its description in RNAcentral is "partial 16S ribosomal RNA". It matches the Rfam family "Bacterial small subunit ribosomal RNA", at positions 28 to 507 of the family's 1533-position model. The record is from RNAcentral.
GAUGAACGCUGGCGGCGUGCCUAAUACAUGCAAGUCGAGCGAACGGACGAGAAGCUUGCUUCUCUGAUGUUAGCGGCGGACGGGUGAGUAACACGUGGAUAACCUACCUAUAAGACUGGGAUAACUUCGGGAAACCGGAUCUAAUACCGGAUGAUAUUUUGAACCGCAUGGUUCAACAGUGAAAGACGGUCUUGCUGUCACUUAUAGAUGGAUCCGCGCUGCAUUAGCUAGUUGGUAAGGUAACGGCUUACCAAGGCAACGAUGCAUAGCCGACCUGAGAGGGUGAUCGGCCACACUGGAACUGAGACACGGUCCAGACUCCUACGGGAGGCAGCAGUAGGGAAUCUUCGGCAAUGGGCGAAAGCCUGACGGAGCAACGCCGCGUGAGUGAUGAAGGUCUUCGGAUCGUAAAACUCUGUUAGUAGGGAAGAACAUAUGUGUAAGUAACUGUGCACAUCUUGACGGUACCUAAACAGAAAGCCACGGCUAACUACGUG